UGAGAGGAUUUAAGAGUACUGUUAAUAAUGCCACUUCUGUGGAAAAGCCAUAACCAUGAAGGAAAACAGAAACAGGAAAUAAUGAGGAAAACUCUGUGUAAAGCAGGAGAAUUCUCCAGGUGCUCUGGAAAAUGUCAUUGUUCAGGACAACACAGAAGUCAAAAUGAAUUCCCCACGACUCGUGCAAAUGUUCGAAGUUAAAUGUGAACUCGUCUGUAACACAAAGUAGGCACUCUGCCUCGUGUGCUGGGAAGAGUGAGUUCUCAAAAGCUCUAUCCAAAGUGGGCACCUGUCUGCAGUUUUAAUGGGAAGGAAGUAGUAUGGAAAUUGGAUGCACCCAUGAAGAGCACCUGUACUGAGCCCCUGAGCAGGAGACCUGGCAGGGAUGAGGGGCUGCUGUCUUCCCAGAGAAAAGA
Non-coding RNA from Cyanistes caeruleus (blue tit), 416 nucleotides. The record is from RefSeq and is a predicted model, not a curated record. Lineage: Eukaryota; Metazoa; Chordata; Aves; Passeriformes; Paridae.